UUACGGGAGGCAGCAGUGAGGAAUUUUCCGCAAUGGGCGAAAGCCUGACGGAGCAAUGCCGCGUGAAGGAUGAAGGCCUAUGGGUUGUAAACUUCUUUUCUCAGAGAAGAAAUUUUGACGGUAUCUGAGGAAUAAGCAUCGGCUAACUCUGUGCCAGCAGCCGCGGUAAGACAGAGGAUGCAAGCGUUAUCCGGAAUGAUUGGGCGUAAAGCGUCUGUAGGUGGCUUAAAAAGUCUCCUGUCAAAGAUCAGGGCUUAACCCUGGGCCGGCAGGAGAAACUCUUAGGCUAGAGUUUGGUAGGGGCAGAGGGAAUUCCCGGUGGAGCGGUGAAAUGCGUAGAGAUCGGGAGGAACACCAAAGGCGAAAGCACUCUGCUGGGCCAUAACUGACACUGAGAGACGAAAGCGAGGGGAGCAAAAGGGAUUAGAUACCCUGGU
RNAcentral lists this ribosomal RNA (437 nucleotides) under uncultured bacterium. RNAcentral describes it as "bacterial SSU rRNA". It matches the Rfam family "Bacterial small subunit ribosomal RNA", at positions 339 to 791 of the family's 1533-position model. The record is from RNAcentral.